UGGAAGUAAAAGUCGUAACAAGGUCUCCGUUGGUGAACCAGCGGAGGGAUCAUUACCGAGUUAUUCAACUCAUCAACCCUGUGAACAUACCUAAACGUUGCUUCGGCGGGAAUAGACGGCCCCGUGAAACGGGCCGCCCCCGCCAGAGGACCCUUAACUCUGUUUCUAUAAUGUUUCUUCUGAGUAAAACAAGCAAAUAAAUUAAAACUUUCAACAACGGAUCUCUUGGCUCUGGCAUCGAUGAAGAACGCAGCGAAAUGCGAUAAGUAAUGUGAAUUGCAGAAUUCAGUGAAUCAUCGAAUCUUUGAACGCACAUUGCGCCCGCCAGUAUUCUGGCGGGCAUGCCUGUUCGAGCGUCAUUACAACCCUCAGGCCCCCGGGCCUGGCGUUGGGGAUCGGCGGAGCCCCCCGUGGGCACACGCCGUCCCCCAAAUACAGUGGCGGUCCCGCCGCAGCUUCCAUCGCGUAGUAGCUAACACCUCGCGACUGGAGAGCGGCGCGGCCACGCCGUAAAACACCCAACUCUUCUGAAGUUGACCUCGAAUCAGG
RNAcentral lists this ribosomal RNA (549 nucleotides) under fungal sp. GZ-2010b. RNAcentral's name for it is "eukaryotic LSU rRNA". The stretch from base 206 to 359 matches the Rfam family "5.8S ribosomal RNA". The record is from RNAcentral. Lineage: Eukaryota; Fungi.